GACGAACGCUGGCGGCGUGCCUAAUACAUGCAAGUCGAACGCUUUUUCUUUCACCGGAGCUUGCUCCACCGAAAGAAAAAGAGUGGCGAACGGGUGAGUAACACGUGGGUAACCUGCCCAUCAGAAGGGGAUAACACUUGGAAACAGGUGCUAAUACCGUAUAACACUAUUUUCCGCAUGGAAGAAAGCUGAAAGGCGCUUUUGCGUCACUGAUGGAUGGACCCGCGGUGCAUUAGCUAGUUGGUGAGGUAACGGCUCACCAAGGCAACGAUGCAUAGCCGACCUGAGAGGGUGAUCGGCCACACUGGGACUGAGACACGGCCCAGACUCCUACGGGAGGCAGCAGUAGGGAAUCUUCGGCAAUGGACGAAAGUCUGACCGAGCAACGCCGCGUGAGUGAAGAAGGUUUUCGGAUCGUAAAACUCUGUUGUUAGAGAAGAACAAGGAUGAGAGUAAAAUGUUCAUCCCUUGACGGUAUCUAACCAGAAAGCCACGGCUAACUACGUGCCAGCCGCCGCGGUAA
RNAcentral lists this ribosomal RNA (523 nucleotides) under uncultured bacterium. RNAcentral's name for it is "partial 16S ribosomal RNA". It matches the Rfam family "Bacterial small subunit ribosomal RNA", at positions 28 to 523 of the family's 1533-position model. The record is from RNAcentral.